CACCCACUAACCCGCUGCUGCAAAUACGUUCAGUCAAGCAUGGACAUUCAGGGAGUUCAAGGCACUCAGAGCUGAGGGUCCGUGAUGGUUUCAUAGCCCAAAGCAAUGCCAAGGCCACACGGAACUACCACAAGUUUAUUGCACAAAUGUUCCUUAUCUUCAAAAACAUUAAUAUUACAGUCAAACUGGAGUUCUCCAAGAUGCUGAAAUUAUUCCAAUAUAUCACUUCUGAUCUGUCCUUUCCUGACAAAGCCAAUAUUCCUGUCAGCUCCCCCCAGUCCAUUUAUUAUGGAAAUAACUUUUUCCCUUGGACGGGACUCACACCUUGAUCAGAGAUCAGAGCAGUGAGAACAGGAUACCUCAGAACAUGUCAACACAGAAAACUGGAGCUUGUGCCAGCUCCCUCAGAGGACCAUUUCACAGUUUUCUGCUCUUUACACUAGUAGCUGGCUGCUGUUCUCCUUUUGCUUAAAGGAAAAAAAAAAAAAAGACUCCUUUACUCCUUUCUUUGGGAAUAGGAACAUGGUGUUUGGUGGAAAAGUGAUGUGACUGUGAGCUCAAGUCUUGCUGGCCAUGGAGAGGCCAGUUAUCUAUAAAUGCUGGCCUCACAGGAGUUUAUGGGUGUUGACAGCUCAUGUAAAAAGUAAAAAUUUCAGGUACUGCCAUGUGGGUGAAUGGAUCAUCUCACCUAUUACUACUAUUACUAUUAGUAUUACUAUUAGUAUUACUAUUAGCAUUACUAUUACUAUUACUAUUAUUAUUUUAAAGCAGUGGAUGAGAUGAAUGAGCAGCACUGCGCCCAUUCCCAAACCUCAGCAUCAGACCCAAGUGCUCUGGAGUGCAGCCAGGGCAGGCUUAACCAUGGCUCAUGCACUGAGGAUGAGGGGAGGCUUGUGACCAGGACCAGAAAAGCUGUGGUGGGGACCCAGGGCACCCUGUACACCCCUGCUUUGCCUGGUCUGGCUUUACAGCAAGGCCAAGGGAUGCAGCAGGUACCCUGCAGGGGUACAGCCUUGGCCAGGUGUGGGGGUCCCUUCCAGCUGGUGGCAGUACCCCUGCUUCUAGCUGCCGCUGGGCACAGGAAGGAACACCCCUCUUUUGUUUCCUCUGGUGUGCGUCCAGUAAUUAUUACCUUCUCACGCAGUUGGGGCCACUCAUUGCUUUCCAGAAUCCCAUGCACUGCCAAAGAUGGAGCCGCCACAGUACUGACAUGGGCACAAGCAGGAGGAAUCAGCCACAAUACCCACGGGCAAGAUUGCAAAACAACUUCUACCCUUAUUCUUUGUGCCCUGUCCAGCCCAGGGUACAGAAACCAUGAUCAAGGGGAGAAGGAAUCUGCCCUAUUUGACACACGAGUACUUCAAGGGAAAGCAAAAGAUGAAUUAGCACUGCAAGAUGUAAAGACACAGAAAAGAUCACCCCAAAGUGAGAAGAAAUAA
This 1439-nucleotide long non-coding RNA is filed under the name Parus major (Great Tit). Its description in RNAcentral is "lncRNA (ENSPMJG00000004662.1)". The record is from RNAcentral. Lineage: Eukaryota; Metazoa; Chordata; Aves; Passeriformes; Paridae.